RNAcentral lists this unclassified non-coding RNA (480 nucleotides) under Athalia rosae (coleseed sawfly). RNAcentral describes it as "misc RNA ENSAEAG00005004254.1". Lineage: Eukaryota; Metazoa; Arthropoda; Insecta; Hymenoptera; Athaliidae. The record is from RNAcentral.
UUCGGAUGGCAAAUUUAUAUUUUAAUGAUGCAUCCGGUAUUAAAGGAAGAUGAUGUAAUUUCGAAAACAGAAAUUCAAGUUCCUUACUUUCUUCCCAAAUCGUAAUUUCUUCUUGUACAACUUCUUCCUGGGAACACCUCCUCUACUAUCGGGCGUCGGAUCCUCAGAUUGAUUUUACACGGUGUACCGCUGUCAUGUUGUGUAAGCUCGAGCAGAAAUACGCUUCGAUUCGCGUUGCUAUGGAUAGCAAACAACGGAGUUAUCGCGUGCAGGGAAUUUGGAAUUCAGUGGGGAUGGUAGAGAACCGGAUACUACCGGAGUGUUUCCAUCAAUACUAUCAAAAAGACGUCGCUUAGUUUGAAGUCUGAGCUAGCACUGAAACGGCCGAAGAGAUUUUUAAUCACAAUCAGAAAGAUGAUUCCAUUUUUCUCAGUCAUGAAUUCUACUGAAUGUACAAUUAACCGACAUGGAAAAGCAUAG